Non-coding RNA from Camellia sinensis, 630 nucleotides. The record is from RefSeq and is a predicted model, not a curated record. NCBI's taxonomy places the organism in Eukaryota, Viridiplantae, Streptophyta, Magnoliopsida, Ericales, Theaceae.
AUUCACUCUGUUUCUUUUAUUUUAUAGAGUAGAAACAUUUCUUGAAUCAGAUGACAACCAGUGACACGGAGUCUUCACCUUGCACACUUGUGUAUGUGUACACUGUCAUCACAUUUUCUUAGUUAGAUUAUGUGCUUUUACAUUCAAUUUAAAUUGUUUCACAACCAUUUAGUUUUGUACUAAUGAACUCCUUAAUUAUAUUGCUUUUAUCUCUUGGUUUUUGGUACUCUUGGUUGCUUUUUAUAGUUAUCAGUUUGCCAAGUGAGUUCAGAAUUCAAACUCAAGCUAUUUCAGUGUACAGCUUUGUUUCAGCCGCCAGUUUUGGAGUUCCAUUAAUCGAGCUGACUACAUGGCCUUGCGCUUGGGCUUCAUUACUAUUGCAGAUUUCUGUCUCUCUCCGAAACUCUUCAUUUCGAAGCCUAUACUCUUGACUAGUUCUAGAACCAAGUGACAGAAAGAUUGGAAAACUGUGUGAAUAUGCUGCAAAAAAUCCUUUAUGUAUAUCCAAGGUACUAUCUGAUUCUUUUGGAGAUUCUCAUAAUAACAAGUUUCCUUCAGUCAUUCUAUGUUAAUUUUUUUAUGGUAAACCCAAUGAAACAUAUAAGUAAUGUACAAAGACACAAUUUGAAU